This 461-nucleotide ribosomal RNA is filed under the name uncultured bacterium. RNAcentral's name for it is "partial 16S ribosomal RNA". It matches the Rfam family "Bacterial small subunit ribosomal RNA", at positions 338 to 795 of the family's 1533-position model. The record is from RNAcentral.
CCUACGGGGGGCAGCAGUGAGGAAUAUUGGUCAAUGGGCGCGAGCCUGAACCAGCCAAGUCGCGUGAGGGAAGACGGCCCUACGGGUUGUAAACCUCUUUUGCCGGGGAGCAACGGGCGCCACGUGUGGCGCCACUGAGAGUACCCGGAGAAAACGCAUCGGCUAACUCCGUGCCAGCAGCCGCGGUAAUACGAAGGGGGCAAGCGUUGUUCGGAAUUACUGGGCGUAAAGGGAGUGUAGGCGGUUUAGUAAGAUAGUGGUGAAAUCCCAGGGCUUAACUUUGGAAUUGCCAUUAUAACUAUUAGACUAGAAUUACAGAGAGGAUAGUGGAAUACCCAGUGUAGAGGUGAAAUUCGUAGAUAUUGGGUAGAACACCAGUGGCGAAGGCGACUAUCUGGCUGUACAUUGACGCUGAGGCUCGAAAGCAUGGGGAUCAAACAGGAUUAGAUACCCCAGUAGUC